This 468-nucleotide ribosomal RNA is filed under the name uncultured bacterium. RNAcentral describes it as "partial 16S ribosomal RNA". It matches the Rfam family "Bacterial small subunit ribosomal RNA", at positions 28 to 507 of the family's 1533-position model. The record is from RNAcentral.
GACGAACGCUGGCGGCGUGCUUAACACAUGCCAGUCGAACGGAAAGGCCCUGCUUUUGUGGGGUGCUCGAGUGGCGAACGGGUGAGUAACACGUGAGUAACCUGCCCUUGACUUUGGGAUAACUUCAGGAAACUGGGGCUAAUACCGGAUAGGAGCUCCUGCUGCAUGGUGGGGGUUGGAAAGUUUCGGCGGUUGGGGAUGGACUCGCGGCUUAUCAGCUUGUUGGUGGGGUAGUGGCUUACCAAGGCUUUGACGGGUAGCCGGCCUGAGAGGGUGACCGGCCACAUUGGGACUGAGAUACGGCCCAGACUCCUACGGGAGGCAGCAGUGGGGAAUAUUGCACAAUGGGCGGAAGCCUGAUGCAGCAACGCCGCGUGCGGGAUGACGGCCUUCGGGUUGUAAACCGCUUUCGCCUGUGACGAAGCGUGAGUGACGGUAAUGGGUAAAGAAGCACCGGCUAGCUACGUG